RNAcentral lists this ribosomal RNA (253 nucleotides) under uncultured bacterium. RNAcentral describes it as "partial 16S ribosomal RNA". It matches the Rfam family "Bacterial small subunit ribosomal RNA", at positions 524 to 776 of the family's 1533-position model. The record is from RNAcentral.
UACAGAGGUCCCAAGCGUUGUUCGGAUUCAUUGGGCGUAAAGGGUGUGUAGGUGGCGCCGUAAGUCGGGUGUGAAAUCUCGGGGCUUAACUCCGAAACUGCAUUCGAUACUGCGGUGCUUGAGGACUGGAGAGGAGACUGGAAUUCAUGGUGUAGCAGUGAAAUGCGUAGAGAUCAUGAGGAAGACCAGUGGCGAAGGCGAGUCCCUGGACGACUCCUGACACUGAGGCACGAAAGCUAGGGGAGCAAACAGG